CACGCACCGUGAAGCUUCCUAGCACAGACCCAAAACCGGGCAGGGAGAGUUUGAGUGGGCGCCAUCUUAACUCAGGGCAGAACCUGUGCUCUUGAGCCUGCAAUACUAGGAGAAAAGAAGCGGCAACCAUGUUUUGUGUGUGAGGGCAAUCGGGCCGAAGCCAAGAAGAGCGCCAUAUUUGUUGAGGGUGCUGUGAAAAGUUUUGUAAAUAAGCUCUAUGUCCCACAAAGGGAAACCUGCACAUUCCAAAUUGAUGCUAGUAUUUCACUGAGACCUGGAGAAGGAAAAGAAAACCUCCACUGUGAUACCAUAGGUUAAAAGCAAGAUUAAGAUGACUGCCUUAAAAUUCUGCAGCUGACAAAUUUGCAUUGGAAUCUGUUAUUUCUCUGCUUCAAAGAAAAUGCUCUUUGUCAUGUGGCCUAUUAUGUAGAACCUAGACAAAUAGUUUAUUUUUUUAAUCAACCCCCCCAAAACCCCCAAAUCUCCACCCAGAUAUUUACAACUCCCAACAGUGAUGAAAUUACAAUUGUGACAUAG
This is a long non-coding RNA of Rattus norvegicus (Norway rat), 537 nucleotides long. Ensembl lists it as uncharacterized. Lineage: Eukaryota; Metazoa; Chordata; Mammalia; Rodentia; Muridae. The record is from Ensembl.